RNAcentral lists this ribosomal RNA (253 nucleotides) under uncultured bacterium. Its description in RNAcentral is "partial 16S ribosomal RNA". It matches the Rfam family "Bacterial small subunit ribosomal RNA", at positions 524 to 776 of the family's 1533-position model. The record is from RNAcentral.
UACGGAGGAUGCAAGCGUUAUCCGGAAUGAUUGGGCGUAAAGCGUCCGCAGGUGGCGAUGUAAGUCUGCUGUUAAAGAGUGAGGCUCAACCUCAUAAGAGCAGUGGAAACUACAUAGCUAGAGUACGUUCGGGGCAGAGGGAAUUCCUGGUGUAGCGGUGAAAUGCGUAGAGAUCAGGAAGAACACCAGUGGCGAAGGCGCUCUGCUAGGCCGUAACUGACACUGAGGCACGAAAGCGUGGGGAGCAAACAGG